AUCGGAUGCUAUUGCUUGCACCUUACAGCUCGGCCGUCCUGGCGCUGGACUUCGUCCCGAAGUUCUCAUAUGUGCAAUUGUUGCGCAAUUUAUUCCAUGUGCGGUAUUGCGAAUCGAAGUGUAACAGUUUGUUGUAGCCGAUUCGACAUUUAUUUCCACAAAUCUGCAAUCAACUUUCGCUUAGUGAUUCAUCGGGAGGACUACAUCGGAUCCAAGGCUUUAGACGAUCGCAUGACAAUAUCGUAUUGAGCGGCUUCGCUGUCACGUUAAAGCCCGGUAUGUCCUGAACCACCCCACAUAGCAAAGAUCUCCCCAGGACAUCCCAAUUUGAUCGAAAUGGUCCCAGUUUGAUCCAGAGUAAAACGUUAUCCGUAUGAUUACCUGAGGAUAUCCCGUGUAACAUGUCCUGUGGAUAUCUUAUGUACGAUCUCCGCAGGACAUCCCAUUUUGAUCAAAAUGAUCCAAACGAUACAGAUCGAUAAUAAAUAAUCAUUCGUAGGA
This is a long non-coding RNA of Linepithema humile (Argentine ant), 501 nucleotides long. RefSeq lists it as uncharacterized. NCBI's taxonomy places the organism in Eukaryota, Metazoa, Arthropoda, Insecta, Hymenoptera, Formicidae. The record is from RefSeq and is a predicted model, not a curated record.